This 497-nucleotide ribosomal RNA is filed under the name uncultured bacterium. Its description in RNAcentral is "partial 16S ribosomal RNA". It matches the Rfam family "Bacterial small subunit ribosomal RNA", at positions 28 to 507 of the family's 1533-position model. The record is from RNAcentral.
GAUGAACUCUGGCGGCGUGCCUAAUACAUGCAAGUCGAGCGAACGGACGAGAAGCUUGCUUUUCUGAUGUUAGCGGCGGACGGGUGAGUAACACGUGGAUAACCUACCUAUAAGACUGGGAUAACUUCGGGAAACCGGAGCUAAUACCGGAUAAUAUUUUGAACCGCAUGGUUCAAAAGUGAAAGACGGUCUUGCUGUCACUUAUAGAUGGAUCCGCGCUGCAUUAGCUAGUUGGUAAGGUAACGGCUUACCAAGGCAACGAUGCAUAGCCGACCUGAGAGGGUGAUCGGCCACACUGGAACUGAGACACGGUCCAGACUCCUACGGGAGGCAGCAGUAGGGAAUCUUCCGCAAUGGGCGAAAGCCUGACGGAGCAACGCCGCGUGAGUGAUGAAGGUCUUCGGAUCGUAAAACUCUGUUAUUAGGGAAGAACAUAUGUGUAAGUAACUGUGCACAUCUUGACGGUACCUAAUCAGAAAGCCACGGCUAACUACGUG